Molecule: ribosomal RNA, 415 nt
Filed under: Pseudomonas sp.
Lineage: Bacteria; Pseudomonadati; Pseudomonadota; Gammaproteobacteria; Pseudomonadales; Pseudomonadaceae
Description: bacterial SSU rRNA
Rfam family: Bacterial small subunit ribosomal RNA
Source: RNAcentral
GCGGCGGACGGGUGAGUAAUGCCUAGGAAUCUGCCUGGUAGUGGGGGAUAACGUUCGGAAACGGACGCUAAUACCGCAUACGUCCUACGGGAGAAAGCAGGGGACCUUCGGGCCUUGCGCUAUCAGAUGAGCCUAGGUCGGAUUAGCUAGUUGGUGGGGUAAUGGCUCACCAAGGCGACGAUCCGUAACUGGUCUGAGAGGAUGAUCAGUCACACUGGAACUGAGACACGGUCCAGACUCCUACGGGAGGCAGCAGUGGGGAAUAUUGGACAAUGGGCGAAAGCCUGAUCCAGCCAUGCCGCGUGUGUGAAGAAGGUCUUCGGAUUGUAAAGCACUUUAAGUUGGGAGGAAGGGCAGUUGCCUAAUACGUAACUGUUUUGACGUUACCGACAGAAUAAGCACCGGCUAACUCUGU